AAUGUGCUAACGUUCGCUUGAAGCCUGUUGGCUUUGACAAACAUGGACGAAAGUUUGAACAAUGCUUCUUCAUGAGGGUUCUAGAAAAUCUUUUUUUAACUUGGUCAAACGUUUGUCUACAUGCAUCUUGGAAUUCGGUGUCGCCAUUGAAGACUUUAGUCCUCAAACCUUCUGUACAAUUAAUUCGCUGACAUGACGGAAAGCUUUGAACUUUCAUCUGAGGAGGAAUCCGGUUUAACUGACACAACAGUCGCAAUAGCUUAUCCUACACCAUGCAUUCAGUUAAAAUGCUAACAAACGGUUAGCAGUUUAGCUGGCUGCUUGGAGUUAGCAUCCAGCUAGAUGGCUGGGCUCCGGUUCCAGGAGUCACAAAUUGCAGACACACAAAUGAAAAGAGUAAUUAAUGAUGAUGAUGGCGAUGGUAACGAUAACCAGUAAGGUAAGGAAAGGGUAAGAAGAAAAGUAAGGAUGUGAGACUCGGUUGACCUAAACAAGAUUUUUCACGAUUGAUGGCUGGAAAGCACGAUUUGAGAAGAGGCGGUGCUCAUUCAUUUUUAUUGAUUCUUAAACGCCAUAUUGUUUACAUGAAGUGUUGUCCGAAUACAAUGUUAUUUACAAACAAUGCGGUCAGGAUGGUAUGACAGCAUGCAAUAUUAUAAUGCAAAAUAUCUGCAUGAAGUAUUACAAGUACACAAUGUUACCGAGAUGUAAUGUUACCUAACUGCCGUGAUUUCUGUUUAAAGUAAUGAUAGCAGACUGUUAGUUGAUGAAUGAAAUAUUAAUUAAAUGCAGUGUAAUUUGAAUGUAAUGUUAUCAGCAUGGAUGAUCAUGUGAAUUGAAUGUUAUCUGUGAAUGUCUCGUCUGAAGAAUCAGUAAUAUAAAGAGUUAUUUUACGCCCCAAAAUCUGUGCGGAUGCAUGAGAACAUCCGGGUAUUAAAGUGGGUGAGGCUGACUCACACCAAGACCAGAAAUAUUCAACGGCAUCACAAGGAUUAGGUCGUGCCACCCAAGCUGAGUCUUGAGGCAUUUCCUUCUUUCUGUUUUUUUUUUUAAUCAGAUCAUACCCCACCCUCAUCAUAUCUUUCCUGAAGACUUACCCUUUCCUUUCUUGAUGAUGAUGGACAGGAGAGAAGAACCGGUUGCUGACGGCUCUGUGGUUUAAGUAACCGGAGAUUGCUACUAUCUUCUUGUCGACAAUUCUCACACAGCGCUUUAAAAACUUAACUCAAAAUUUUUAGUAAAUAAAAAAUGUUUCAUCCCCUCCACUUUCUCCAAACCAACACACAUAACACCACAUACAGUACAUUAACCACUAAGAUAGGAUUGUUGGGAUUUGAUUGGUUAUCGGCUCAGCACGGAUAAUGACAGUUUACUGAGACUGAUAAGCACCACUCGACAACAGCUUUUCCGAGCGCUUGUUUUCAAGGCCAAUGAAGUCCAGGUCAUUGUCAAAUGUUUCUAAUAAAUAUCUUGGCUUUACUUUGCUGUCUGGCUGCUCAGUGGUCUGUCUCCUCCGUCAGUAAGGCAGUGCAGCAUGUUCAUUAAUUGUCUUAAUUUUAUUUAAUUUUCAUCUGUUUGCUAUGUUUCUCAGUUUCAGUUCAUCCAAUUUGAUUAGGAUGGCGAACCUGGUGUCAAGUGUCAUCCAAGUGCUAACCUUUCACCUCCGUCUUUGAACAGCACUGUCAAGCCCUCUCGGAGGAGCAGCUAGUACUAGUGGAGCACUUGACUCUCUCCUCCUUGCCCUUCCCCACAACCCUCAUGGCCUGCACUACACACUUGGCUCGGUGGUGGUAAGUCUGAACUUCUUGCAUUUGUUACUUGUCGCUUGUGACUAAGAAAGCUCGAUGCACGUUCCGAGAACACUAAGUGUGCUAAUUUAUGCUAAUGUAUUCUGUUGUUCAUCAGAGCAGAUGAAUCAUGGGGAACUCUAAGAAUGGCUGAAAUCCUCAGAAAAUCCCUGAUUCAUGACGGAUUAUGUUGACAUCACGCGCGGAAGUUUCUAGAGCCUGGUGCAGUACAAGGAGUGUUUGUUAGUGGCUGUUAUUAUGUUUCUAAGCACGUGAUGCACGGCAUGAAUUGCAACAGAAAAAUACACUUUAGUUUGGCGAAGCACGAAUGUUGGGCAGAGGUCCUUCUGCUCACUGUUCUAAGCAACAACAAUGUCAUCAAUCUUGGGCUAAGGCUGGCCAGAACCUGAGACUUGAUUGAUAUCAGCGUUCGUUUUCUUUUGCUCCGCGAUAACUCUUUCCCAAAUCCUGGCGUAGGGGCAAAUAACUGAGAUAGCGAAACCCCAGGGGAGAUAACUGGCCUUUCUCGCGGUUCACCCCCUUGACCUACUCCAAAGGACUCUAUUAAAUAAUUACUAACAUAAAGGAGCUUUGCUAUUUUACAGCUCAAGACAGGCUAAUUCACAUACUCCCUGCUCUCGAGGUAGAUAUGAACUCCAUUUUGUCCACAGUCUGCUCGGGUGGACCAGGUAGUUCAGGUAAACACACUGGAGGUGGGGUGGACCAGGUAGUUAACACUGGAGGUGGUUUUGAACGAGGUCUGUGAGAGGAUGACCAAAGCAUAAGCACUCGCCUCUGCCAUGUCAGCACGACAGUCGAGUUCGGAGGCAGAUUCACCAAGUGCUCAUGUCCAGUCUUCAACGGCCAAGACAGGGAAGCAAAGCACCGGUGGUUCGCCACCAAACACCAGACAGGGAGGGCAAGCCACCCCGCAACGACAGCCCAGUCUCGGAGGAAAUUCUACUCAGUCACGGCCAGCCACAAGACGAGAAGACGCAGAGCUCAGCCCUCGCAACAGCCUGAAAGAGACAGGACCUGCAAUUUCCAGACAUUCCAGUUCAAGGAUCAAGAACCGAGCAUCUGAUGGAGUUGACCCCGCUAGCGAGACGACCUCUGCGGCGGAGAGUAAACGCGGUCUGGACGAUGUUGAGAAGCUCUCGCAGGCGGCAAGGAGUCGAAGCUCGACCCACAGGGAAAAGGACAGAAUUAAAGACAAGCACUCAAACCCUGAGGUUAACGAAGAGAAAGACAAGGAAGAUGAAAAAUCCGCCAGUGAUGCAGCUUUCAACAGCGAUGUUCUUGGGAUCGAGAGGUACAGCAGCUGCAGUCGGGUGGAUGCAGCUGGUGCUCGCGCUGUGCUAGACUUCGGACCGGAGGUGUGCAGCUGUUUCCCCUCCCGCAGCAGCCACACGGUGCCGUCUAUGCUGUACGACCAGGUCCACUGCCUACACUGUCACGUGACAGGUCACGCCCACGUGGGCGUUUUCCAUUUCGAUGAUAACUGGGACGCCAAUGUACGCAAUGUGAAGUCAACGGAUCGACAUCCGCCCACCAAGAAAUACAUCAGCGGCUACCCAUAUUUCCAGCUCUCAGAAUUUCAAGAAGACGACCACAGCGCUGGCAAAGAAAAAUCACACAACACGACAACUGAAAGAUCACGUGCAGGACAACGAGGUUAGAAAACACACACCUGCACUGAAGCUAGAGCAGCCAGGUAAAGGAGACAAGGAGACAACCAGCUUUGACGAAGAAGGGAACAAACUCCUCUUAGCCUCGUCUGCCGUGUCCAGGUGCGUGCUGACCCGAGCGACAACGGAGAAGCCGAGUUCACUUCUAAAAAUAGAAGACACGUCACUGAACAUCUCUCACGAACGGGAGGCGAAUAGAGGGGAGACAAAACUGUGCCGGUGACCGUGGAAACGCCAUCCCGUGUGGCCAGUCAGUCCUCUUUGGUGGAAACAUUCCAGAGACACGACCUCAGCCGGUGAAUUCGUAUCGAGGUCCAGGACCUUCCGGGGACAGUUUUACGAUCCUGCCACAGACGAGUGUUACAUAUUUGACAUCACCCCUGAUUUCGGGAGACGACUCGACCAGUGGAAUGCUCGCAAGGAACUAACGAGACAGAGAACUCGCGACACCAAGAAGACAAAGGGAGACAAUUACUGAUUCUGGCAUUGUAGGUCAUUAAUUAGGUUUGCUCAGGAAAACUGCAUUGGAAGAUUUCCAUUUUAAGAAAAUUAACAAUUAUAUGUAUAGAUUAACGACAAAGAAUAUGUGUGCUAAACUUUAUUUACAGAAUAGGAAGGGCAUUUGUCUGCAACAAAAAUGAAAAGGAAAAAUAGACCGGCAAACGUGAUGGACCUCCAAGGACAAUAAUUUUUUUUCUGUUUUCGCUUCAUUAUAAAUCAGUCAUUAAAUAAGUUACAAAAAAAUGUCAUAUUUCAUGUCACAGCACAGAUGUUAGAAAUCCCAGAUUUUAAACAAGAACAGUUUCUAUUUAGAACUAUUUUCCUUCCAGCUCCUCAAGAAAGGAUGAAGUGUGAUACAUUCACACAUAACUGACAUAAUCACCAAUUUAUGUGUGACUCAUUAUACUUACACCAGCCAAUACUAAACACGCACAACAUCAUCUAUUUAAGACUUUAUUUUGAAAAAUAUUUCAAAUCAGGAGCAUAAAUAAUAAUCUGACUGCUUUCCAUGCAACAUUCAGUGUUUGAGGAUGAAUUGCGGCUUCUGACAACAAGCAAGUUAACAAGAUACAGAGCAAGACCUGCUAAACAGAGACACAAAAGGGAAGGAAGGAAGAAGAAAAUCAUAUGUAAAGAACAGUUUCGUUUUUUGUUCCGAAAUUAGACAAGUUCUUUUUCUGCAUAGACUGUCAAUACAUCCGAAAAAAAAAGUUUUAGCAUCUACUUCAUAAAUUUUCUGACAAGACAUCUAAUCAUGACUGGUACCAUGUUUAAAUGUCGAAGCACUGAUGAUUUUAUCAACUGUGGACUUUUAAUUUCAAGAUAUUCUCGUGUUAUUAUUUAUGGGAAGCCCAUAGAAAAAAAAACAAGGAAAGCAACAACAUAAACAUUAUGGGAUGCUCCGGCAAGCCCUGCGUUCUCCUCUAUCAUAUUAUCAGAUAAUUGUUGCACGAGGCUCACUGGAAGCUGCUUUGCCAUAGUUUAUAUCUGUAAAAAAAAAAAAA
RNA transcript from Pomacea canaliculata, 4980 nucleotides. RefSeq lists it as uncharacterized. The record is from RefSeq and is a predicted model, not a curated record. The transcript is spliced from 4 exons. NCBI's taxonomy places the organism in Eukaryota, Metazoa, Mollusca, Gastropoda, Architaenioglossa, Ampullariidae.